Molecule: non-coding RNA, 47 nt
Organism: Drosophila busckii
Lineage: Eukaryota; Metazoa; Arthropoda; Insecta; Diptera; Drosophilidae
Source: Rfam
CCACAGGCUUUAAUCAAAGCCAAAUAACAAAUCAAAUAUGUCAAAGU